UUUUAUGCAUCAACCAUCAAGUUUGACGAAAACCCAGUAAUAUUGACAAACUUUCUUGAGUGUGUUGCUCAUUUUCAAUCUCAAUGUUUCAAUCUAUGAACUUUCUUUACUUUGCUGGAUGGUCAAUUGAAUUUGCUUGAUUUUGAUUAUUCAUGUAAGUUUUAAACUUUUUUUUGUUAGUCACACAACUGUAGUUUGAUUAAUCCAAGAAGGGUUUUUCUUUAACAUUGGUGUUGUUGAUUUUAUGGUUAAUGUUAUUAUUUUAUUGUGACACAAUUGUUGCAAGAUACCAUAAAUUUCAAUUUUGCUAAUCUCUACUCACAAUGUUAUGUUCCUCCCUGUUUAUGUUUUCAGGUCAUAUUGAAGUUGUCUAGCUCUCAUGAAUCUGCACCUUCAUUUUCUUAGG
Molecule: long non-coding RNA, 406 nt
Filed under: Trifolium pratense (red clover)
Lineage: Eukaryota; Viridiplantae; Streptophyta; Magnoliopsida; Fabales; Fabaceae
Description: long non-coding RNA (TPRA_LNC008676)
Source: RNAcentral